Molecule: ribosomal RNA, 440 nt
Filed under: uncultured bacterium
Lineage: Bacteria
Description: partial 16S ribosomal RNA
Rfam family: Bacterial small subunit ribosomal RNA
Source: RNAcentral
CCUACGGGUGGCAGCAGUGGGGGAUAUUGCACAAUGGGGGAAACCCUGAUGCAGCGACGCCGCGUGGGUGAAGAAGCGCCUCGGCGCGUAAAGCCCUGUCAGCAGGGAAGAAACUGACGGUACCUGAAGAAGAAGCCCCGGCUAACUACGUGCCAGCAGCCGCGGUAAUACGUAGGGGUCAAGCGUUAUCCGGAUUUACUGGGUGUAAGGGGGGCGCAGACGGCGAUGCAAGCCAGGAGUGAAAGCCCGGGGCCCAACCCCGGGACUGCUCGUGGAACUGCGUGGCUGGAGUGCAGGAGGGGCAGGCGGAAGUCCGGGUGUAGCGGUGAAAUGCGGAGAUAUCAGGAGGAACACCGGUGGCGAAGGCGGCCUGCUGGACUGCAACGGACGUUGAGGCCCGAAAGUGUGGGGAGCAAACAGGAUUAGAGACCCGAGUAGUC